UACGUAGGGGGCAAGCGUUGUCCGGAUUCAUUGGGCGUAAAGAGCGUGUAGGCGGCCAGGUAGGUCGGUUGUGAAAACUGGAGGCUCAACCUUCAGAGGUCGACCGAAACCAUCUGGCUAGAGUCCGGGAGAGGAGAGUGGAAUUCCUGGUGUAGCGGUGAAAUGCGCAGAUAUCAGGAAGAACACCCGUGGCGAAAGCGGCUCUCUGGAACGGUACUGACGCUGAGAAGCGAAAGCGUGGGGAGCGAACAGG
Molecule: ribosomal RNA, 253 nt
Filed under: uncultured bacterium
Lineage: Bacteria
Description: partial 16S ribosomal RNA
Rfam family: Bacterial small subunit ribosomal RNA
Source: RNAcentral